AGCCUGAUGACCAUAGCGCGUCGGUACCACCCCUUCCCAUCCCGAACAGGACCGUGAAACGACGUUGCGCCGAUGAUAGUGCGUCAACACGUGUGAAAGUAGGUCAUCGUCAGGCUA
RNAcentral lists this ribosomal RNA (117 nucleotides) under Oxalobacteraceae bacterium IMCC9480. Lineage: Bacteria; Pseudomonadati; Pseudomonadota; Betaproteobacteria; Burkholderiales; Oxalobacteraceae. The record is from RNAcentral.